RNAcentral lists this transfer RNA (73 nucleotides) under Daphnia pulex (common water flea). It matches the Rfam family "tRNA". From Rfam's summary of the family: Transfer RNA (tRNA) molecules are approximately 80 nucleotides in length. Their secondary structure includes four short double-helical elements and three loops (D, anti-codon, and T loops). Lineage: Eukaryota; Metazoa; Arthropoda; Branchiopoda; Diplostraca; Daphniidae. The record is from Rfam by way of RNAcentral.
GGUCGUGUGGCCUAAUGGAUAAAGCCUCGGACUAAGGAUUCGUAGACUGCAGGCUCGAGUCCUGCUACAAUCA